CGUCAUUUUUAUAUUUUAUAAAAUUUUGAAAUUAUAGUAAUUAAAAUUAUUUUUAGUGAAAUAAGAAAAAAUUUUUUUAUUUAAAUUUAGUAAAUAUUUAAAAAAUUAUAAUUAAAAAAAUAGGAUUAGAUACCCUAGUAUUUAUCAAUAAAAUUAAAAGUUAGAGUAUUAAAUGAUUUAUCAUUAAAUUAAAAAAUUUUGGCAGUAUUUUUUAUAAUUAAAGGAACUUGUUUAUGAAUUGAUAAUCCACGAUAGGAUAAACUUAUUUUAAUUAAUAAUAUUUAUAUAUCUUCGUUUAUAAUUUAUUUUAAAAGAAUAGAGUUUAAAGUUUAAUUUAUUAAUGAAUUUAAAUUCAGAUCAAUAUGUAGUUAAAAAUAAGAUUAAGUGAGUUACAAUAAGUAUUUAUUUUUAAUUGGAUUUAAUAAAUUAAUUUGUUAAGGAAAGUGGAUUUAAUAGUAAAUUAAAAUAAUAUUUUUUAUUGAAUUAAGGAAAAAUAUGUACAAAUUGCCCGUCAUUCUAUUAUUGUAGACAAGUCGUAACAAGGUAAAUAUAUUGGAAAAUGUAUUUA
This 568-nucleotide ribosomal RNA is filed under the name Megaspilidae sp. SJW-2015. Its description in RNAcentral is "12S ribosomal RNA". Lineage: Eukaryota; Metazoa; Arthropoda; Insecta; Hymenoptera; Megaspilidae. The record is from RNAcentral. RNAcentral also lists the same sequence under 1 other name.